RNAcentral lists this ribosomal RNA (635 nucleotides) under Enterococcus faecium. RNAcentral describes it as "bacterial SSU rRNA". It matches the Rfam family "Bacterial small subunit ribosomal RNA", at positions 83 to 704 of the family's 1533-position model. Lineage: Bacteria; Bacillati; Bacillota; Bacilli; Lactobacillales; Enterococcaceae. The record is from RNAcentral.
GGAAAAAGAGGAGUGGCGAACGGGUGAGUAACACGUGGGUAACCUGCCCAUCAGAAGGGGAUAACACUUGGAAACAGGUGCUAAUACCGUAUAACAAUCAAAACCGCAUGGUUUUGAUUUGAAAGGCGCUUUCGGGUGUCGCUGAUGGAUGGACCCGCGGUGCAUUAGCUAGUUGGUGAGGUAACGGCUCACCAAGGCCACGAUGCAUAGCCGACCUGAGAGGGUGAUCGGCCACAUUGGGACUGAGACACGGCCCAAACUCCUACGGGAGGCAGCAGUAGGGAAUCUUCGGCAAUGGACGAAAGUCUGACCGAGCAACGCCGCGUGAGUGAAGAAGGUUUUCGGAUCGUAAAACUCUGUUGUUAGAGAAGAACAAGGAUGAGAGUAACUGUUCAUCCCUUGACGGUAUCUAACCAGAAAGCCACGGCUAACUACGUGCCAGCAGCCGCGGUAAUACGUAGGUGGCAAGCGUUGUCCGGAUUUAUUGGGCGUAAAGCGAGCGCAGGCGGUUUCUUAAGUCUGAUGUGAAAGCCCCCGGCUCAACCGGGGAGGGUCAUUGGAAACUGGGAGACUUGAGUGCAGAAGAGGAGAGUGGAAUUCCAUGUGUAGCGGUGAAAUGCGUAGAUAUAUGGAGG